AAAAUUCCUUCACUGCCUUUCAAUAUUGGUUAAGGGAAAUUCCUAAACAAAUCCAUCACUUUGUUUCGCCAUCAUCAUCAGUCCAUCAAAAGAUGAAAUCUUUGACAACAAAUCGUGAUUUUAUUUAUUUUCCUGUUGACAUUUGAACGUGGAUCAUGCACUAACUUUUCUAAGUUCAAAAUUAAUGGAUGCUUCUGAUGUAUUGAAUUUGUUAAUCGCCAUUGGAGUUUGGUGUGCUGCUUAUAUUUCCGUCGCCAUUCUUGCAUCUUUUCGUUUCCUCAAUUCCAUUUGCCCUUGUUAAAUCAUCAAACUCAUUUGGGCCCGCAAGUGGUAAUAGUAGGUUAAUUAAUGUUUGCCCAUCUUUAGUUGCUUUAUUUUUGCUUUAUAUAUUAGAAUUGCUUUGUUGUUUUCAACAUUCGACACCCAGAUGAAAAUUUAGAUAAUUUGUUGAUUGGAUGACCGGAUAAUGGCUAUCUUUUUCUUUUCUUUUUUUUGAAAAACUUCCCAUGUAUCGGAAUAUAUAUUUGUGUGUAGAUGUGUGUAUUCGUGUUGAAUGUGAUGCUGCAAAUCCUAUGCUUUGGGAAGAUGAUUUGAGUAUGAUCUUUAAGUUUAUCAAAGUUUGAGAUUACGAUGAAUGAGUGUGUCCCUAUUACUAUGAAUGUAUAUUGAGAGGAAAUGUGUCAAGUGGUGCUAUGCUCUUUCAGAAUGUUACUGCUCUAUCAGACUUGUAAUGCUCUUGUUUUCAUGUUUAAUGCUAUUUUAAUUUUUAUUGUAUCCUUGAUGUUCUUUGAGUUUUUCUAUGAGAGUUGAACCGUGCGUUGCUUCUCUAUUAGUUCCAAUAAAAACAUUAUGUCUUUUGAGUGCCUCAGUUGUGUUUCCAGAUAGAUCUCAUAUUUGAUUAAUUGUGUUACAUGUCAUGGUCAGGUUUAAAUCGACAUUAUUAAUGGAUUCUUUUGAUAUUUAAUUCAUUUUUUAUCUGUUGGUCAUUUGUCCCUUCAUUAAGGAACCUAGAAACCUCUACAUUGUAUGUUUCUUUGUAGAGGGUAACCGAAGUUAAUGGUUGGCUGUAUAUUUUUAUCCAGAAGAAAUGUUAUUGUUCUAUUUUGAUUUUCAUUCUUUUAUGCUUGUAUAACACAUGUUCAGACUACUCUAUGUUUGUGUAACUAGAAUUAUCUGAACUUUGCUUGGAUUCCUUGUUACCAUCAUCAUCAUCAUAUUAUUUUUCUCACACUUCUCGGUGUUUGGCUUCCUAGAGGCAUGGCAUUUCAUUGAAACUAAUCCCUCUUCAGUUGGUAAAUUUUGAAAAAGGAAAUAAAAAACAGAAUUGACGAAGGGAUUUGCUAUGGUAGUUGUUUUAGUCCUAUAUGGCGGUAGUUAGUUAGGAUCAUUGUGCUCUUGGGGUCUUAUUUUCUUGCUUUAGACUUCUCCAUGUUUUGCGUAUUUACCAGUAAUCUACAGCUUCAGUGCAAGCUGCUGCAUAUGUGCUUGUUACUGCCGUGAGCAUAAUGUUUAUGUGUCUUGGUGUGGAAGCUUGGCAAUUUAUGAAAGAUGUUCGCUUUUUACUUAUCUGGUGACAGUAAGACUAAUUGUGACAUUAUUUCUUCGAAAUUCUCAUUUGGUUCUGAACAGUAAAAGAUUCCCCAUAUGAUUUGGUGAUAGUUUUGAUGCCCUUUCAAGAAUAGAGCUUAGCCUCCUAAGAGUUUAUUCAUUUGAUACGUGUAAUUAGACAAUUGAAAAUAUAGUAUUGGAGUCUGUUUUGGACUUCAAUCUCUUUUUUAUUUUAUCAAACGUGAUUUGAGUGUUUACUUGGAAGGUCAUUAGACAAAAAUGAACUUGAAUGUUAUGUUUUUUUACCAACAUUUUGUAUAUUGUAUGACCAAUGUUGGCUAUUUUCCUUGCAGUUGGCAAUAUAUGUCCCGAACUCAUCUUUACAACUGCAUCGAGCACUGGGUAUUUGCUGAUGUAACGUUUACCUGCUCAACUUGGCAACUGGGAAGAUGCAGAUGUCAAUGUUAGAGAUUUUGAUCCAGGCAAUGAGGUUAUUAUAUCAACUAUUUUACAGAAAAGGGUUCUACAAAUCUGAAGUAAACUUUCCAACUGAGUGGUUGUUUGCAUGUACAUUUGUGAGGCAUUUUUAUUAAAUCAUGAUCAUGAGCAAUAUCAAAGUAAAAUUUUUUGAGGCUUUGCUAUCUUGUGCUUUUCAAGUAUCAUACAAAUGUCUAAUCUUUUAUGCAAUAAUAAACUACCAAAAUAUUUAACUGGUGGUUCACCAAAGCUUGGAUGGGCAUUGCAAGUUCAUGCAAGUAGUCAUGGUAAAGGCCUCAAAAAACUUAGUUAGAUAAGCCAUAAAAAGUUUGCAUUUGUAAUAUUGAAAGUGUAAGUGCUGCGAUAAGUUAAAUGAGCGCUUCCUCGUGUCAACACAGGGAAGAUUGUCAAGUUAUCCCUUAUUUUACUAUUUUCUUAAUGCUUAAUAAUUUUCCUAAACUAUUAUUUUUAUUUUUUAAAUAUUUUUUAAUGAUAUGUAUUUUAUAUUUUGAAAAUCGAAU
This 2546-nucleotide long non-coding RNA is filed under the name Citrus maxima (pomelo). Its description in RNAcentral is "long non-coding RNA (CMAX_LNC000908)". Lineage: Eukaryota; Viridiplantae; Streptophyta; Magnoliopsida; Sapindales; Rutaceae. The record is from RNAcentral.